This is a non-coding RNA of Bactrocera oleae (olive fruit fly), 393 nucleotides long. The record is from RefSeq and is a predicted model, not a curated record. NCBI's taxonomy places the organism in Eukaryota, Metazoa, Arthropoda, Insecta, Diptera, Tephritidae.
AUUUUUACGCCUUCGAAAGGUUUGAGAAAAAUUCAAGAAAUUGCUAUCCCAUAUUGUGUUGCCGAAAAAGUAUCGUUUUUUAGUAAUGUAAUACGUGAUCGUGACUACCGUGCCAUAUAAAAGUUAAUAAUUACGAAUAUUCGCGAUCGUAUGUUGUUGUUGUCGCAAUCGUAUCAAUUAGUUUGCUCAUGCACUGUAAAUUGAAAUAUGAUGUGUAUAUAUUAUAUGAAAAUAUACAUAUGCAUGUAAAAAAAUUUUUAAAGCUAGAUUAAAUUUCAACAUCCAAAGCGUUCUUUGGCUUCAUUAGUAUGAGAACUCAGAAAAUAUUUAAAAUAUGUAAAUUAACAUGAGAAAGUUAUUUUGACUGAAUUUGCUGUUUACACAAUAAUAUAU